GGAGAGCCUGGAAGGACUAAGAAGUAGUAACAAGGUGGAGAAGUCUGUGCUGUGAAGAACUGCCCCCAAGAAAUAUCACUGAGAAGAGAAUGAGACAGCUGCUGCUGCAUUGGUGCUUCUGUAUCCUGUAGGAUUAGCAGGUGGUUAUACUUCUGAAAGGUUCAGGGCACGUCUCCCUCUCAGGAAAUGUUGGAAUGCACAAACUUCUUCUCAAGUACAAUGAGGAAUCAAAAGAAGAAGCUUCAGGAGGUGAAAUAAACUUCUGAAAGACAAAACUGUAAAGCAAAUGAUGGUUAUCACUUCAAUAAGCUAUUUGUAAUGAAGAAGAGCAUCUAAGAAAAACAUUGCUUUCUGUUUAUUAAAUUUUGCAGUAAGGAAAUUUGUCAAACGUUAGUGUAAGUCCAGCUACUUACAAGCAUACCUCUGGCAUAUGCCAGUGUGGCAGGUAAUUUAGACUCUUGUACGUCACUUUAGAUUUCUGACCCCUCUGCAGUAGUUGAAGGGAGCCUGACCAACAAUGAAAUCUCUAAGUAAUUAGAAGCCAAUCCUUGUGUUUACUGCCCAGCUAAUCUCUUGUUACACUUUUAAUAUGCUAUUGCAUUUCAGCAAAGUUUUUCUUCCAAUUCUGAAAAACCUUGCAUAAGUAAUUCCCAUUCAUAACAAUACAUUUAUGUCAUUUAUUUACUAAAUCAUUCUAGCUGGUAAGCACAAACGCUGUUUAUUGUUUAAAGAUCCCAGAAAUUCAGUAUUUCUCCAAUGCAACUCUAGUGGAGACUAAACUAGGAAAUCAAGUUAGCAGAAGUGCUGGUGUAGGAUUAAUAUAGUGAAAAAAACCCACAACCAUGGCUUAUUUUCAAAAUUUGACAGACAGGUAUUAUACUGAUCAUCUUUUUAAACUGAUUGUAUCUUGGAGAUUACACUGAUAUGUUAAUAGCAGCUUCUGAUGUUAAGUUGAUAAUGUCAUUUUUGUAUUGGCACAACACUGGUAGAUUGACAAGACCUAAAUUCUGUGGCAAGACACAGCAAGAUUUAGAGAGGAACAGAAGGAGCUGAAAACAUGAUGAAAGAGAGGGAAGUGAUCAGAUCAGGCUGUAUCCUUUGACUUAUUGGAAGGAUUUUCUGUUAACUUCUUGCUAAUCACACAAUACAUACAUGAAAUUUAGUUCUUGAACUUACUGCUUUGAAACUAGAUACUGAACAAUUUCUAUCUGCUGCUAAAUUGCAGAUUUUCAGUUUCCAACAACUCCAAGCUAUCCAAUAUAUUGCUGCAUGUAAAUGUAGCAGGCCUGUACCUGCUCAGGAAUAUGAAGGACCUCCUGGAUUUGUUUUUACAAGGAGGACAUCCUGAUUUUUUUGUCAGGGUAUGUGACAUAAUCAUCAUGAGAUUGUCACUGUUGUAUAAUUCUACAAGGAAAUGACAGGUUCACAGAUCAUUCUGUAUCUGAUUUGGCCUGAAACCCUGCUGUUAUCUCUCACUUCUGAUCACUUGAAUGUGGAAACAUUUCUGGGCUCCGAACAAUUUGAAAGGGAUUACAUAUGCAACACAAAAAGCAAUAUUCAAAGGGGAAAGUUUCAGCCUGACUUUUAAAAGUGUUUGGCAAAGGACAUCCAGUGAGUUAAAAGGGCUGGGAGUUCCAGACAGAAGGAACAGGGUAUGCAAAUAUUCAAUUAGCACCAGUAUGAGGGUGAGACUUUGGAAGAAACAGAACAAUUUAGAGAUGAAUCUCUGGGAGAAUUGGCAGCAAUGUAGGUGACAAGGAAGUCAUAUAAAUCAUGUCAUGAAAAAAGCAUGGAAUGUUUGAUAGCAAGCAACGAAAAACAUAUGAAAACAGGGCAGCACAUUACCCAAUUAGAAGCAAAUGCAAUGAGAACAUUUCAGGGUAAUGCAGGGAUCGGCUUACUUCUAGGCAAGGGUCCAGCUCACAAAUUAUAGAAUGGCUACUGUGGAAGCAAAGUGUGUAUAAGAAAGUAGGCGUGAAGAUGAUUAAAAUAACCAGGCCUGCUCAUGA
Molecule: long non-coding RNA, 2009 nt
Organism: Zonotrichia leucophrys gambelii
Lineage: Eukaryota; Metazoa; Chordata; Aves; Passeriformes; Passerellidae
Exons: 2
Source: RefSeq, a predicted model, not a curated record